Molecule: long non-coding RNA, 1793 nt
Organism: Medicago truncatula (barrel medic)
Lineage: Eukaryota; Viridiplantae; Streptophyta; Magnoliopsida; Fabales; Fabaceae
Exons: 3
Source: RefSeq, a predicted model, not a curated record
AUAUAAUUUUUUGGCUUCUUUAUGGCUGCAUAUGCUUUAAAAGACCUAGUAGAGUUGUUGGACAGAGAAAAUACUAAGGCUUAAACGAGAAUAUCGAAGCAUUUGCUAAUUUCUUUUACUUUUCAUGGGUCUUGUUUAUUAUUCAUAAAUCUAAUAUUGGUUUCUUUCCUCCUAUUAGCUGAUCAUGGUGGAUGGACACGUGUUGUUGCUGAGAAACCCUUUGGUAGGGAUCUAGAAUCUGCUGAAGAACUCAACACUCAGAUUGGAGAGUUGUUUGAAGAACAACAAAUUUAUCGUAUCGAUCACUUCUAGUGAAGAACAUGGUAAUAAAUGAACAUAUAAUGACUCACUUCUUGGACACCCAUUCGGCUACUGAAUCAGAUUCAAUCUGCUAUUCCAAGAAGUGAUGAGGUUGUUCUUGGACAAUAUGAAGGCUUUAGAGAUGACUCAACUGUACCUGACGAAUCAAACACUCCGACUUUUGCAACUGCUAUUAUUCGGAUACACAAAGAAAGUUGGGAAGGUGUUUCAUUCAUUAUGAAAAGCAGGGAAGGCCCUAGAAUCUAGAAAGGCAGAAAUUGAGGUUCAAUUCAAGGAUGUUCCUGGUAACAUUUUCAGAAGCAUCAUGGCAAAUAUUUACACCACUUUUACACAAUUGAUAGACGGGAUUUGAAGCCAGUUCCUUACUAGCCCGGAGAGGUUCUGCAGAAGUUCGUAGAAAAGGCUGGAUAUGUUCAAACACGGUUUUUUCCCUACCAGAUUUGUCUCUCAUCCAUGCUACGAUCAAUUCAAUAGGUAUUCCGUAGCAUUUCACUAGCUAAAUCCGUUUGCUAGCAAUUUGCUACAAAUUAGCAACAAGAAAAUCACAUAUUUUCUUGUAGUGGAUUUCUCCUACCUUAUAGUGUGACCAAAUUUAAUAAUAACACAAAGAUUAGGAUUAUCAAGAGCUUAUAUAUACGUAUGGACUAAGCUUGGGAAAUUUCCAUUAUAGUUUCCUUAUUCACAACAAGCUCUCUGAAACUUCACACCAAAAGGAAAGUCACUCAAAACAAAACGAGUAUUCCUAUUUUCAUCAAGAAAAAUCCCAAUAUCCUUACACACAACCUCACAUUCCCUACAAACUGUAGGACAAAACACUAACUUAUAACCACUCUCAAAUCUCUCAAUCUUAAACCAAUUAUCAACGGUUUCACGACCAGGAUUCCCUUGAACACCACCAGUAGUAACAAACCUUUGACUUGUUGCAACAUCAACUUUGUCAACCUUCCACACAGUCACAGAAGAAGUUGAACAGUUUGUUGGGAAACUAUGAAUCACGUUGAGAUCAGUUGAAACUCUAAUAACACCUUUUUUGAAGUUAAAAGGGACAAAGCUAAACUGCAUUGCUUCUUCUUCCUCGACGACAUCAAGAGGACAUGUUUUGUUUGUGUUGAGAAGUGCCAUUUCGCAUCUUGUGCCACAUUGGAUGGAAGACGGAAGGAUGAAGUAGUUUAUGCUGUUUCGUACCAGGUUGCCUGAUGUGUCGCGAACUUCUUCGGGUUGUUCUGCACCUUGAAGUGGUUUUGUGGUGAAUAAUGUAAGUAGAAGAAAUAAGAGUGGAAAAUGCAGUUUCAUAUUUGAUUCUAGUUGUGACUUUUGAGGCUUUGGUUUUACUUCUCAAUGUAGUAGAUUAUUUUCAAUUUAUAGUUUUUUUUUCUUCCUGUUUUUAAAUUGUGGUAGCAGUAACAAUAGCACAUGGUUUGAGAAUUUUGAUAUUGCAAUAAUGCAGUCAAAUGCAGCCUCAUUUGCGGUUG